GCCGGGCAUGCUGGCUCAUGCCUGUAAUCCCAGUACUCUGGGAGGCUGAGGCAGGUGGAUCACUUGAGGUCAGGAGUUCGAGACCAGCCUGGCCAACAUAGUGAAACCCUGUCUCUA
This 117-nucleotide signal recognition particle RNA is filed under the name Nomascus leucogenys (northern white-cheeked gibbon). RNAcentral's name for it is "Metazoan signal recognition particle RNA". It matches the Rfam family "Metazoan signal recognition particle RNA". From Rfam's summary of the family: The signal recognition particle (SRP) is a universally conserved ribonucleoprotein. It is involved in the co-translational targeting of proteins to membranes. The eukaryotic SRP consists of a 300-nucleotide 7S RNA and six proteins: SRPs 72, 68, 54, 19, 14, and 9. Lineage: Eukaryota; Metazoa; Chordata; Mammalia; Primates; Hylobatidae. The record is from Rfam by way of RNAcentral.